UACGGAGGGUCCAAGCGUUGUCCGGAUUUAUUGGGUUUAAAGGGUACGUAGGCGGGACUUUAAGUCAGCGGUGAAAGCCUCCAGCUUAACUGGAGAAUUGCCAUUGAAACUGAAGUUCUUGAGUAUGGAUGAGGUGGUUGGAAUAUAACAUGUAGCGGUGAAAUGCUUAGAUAUGUUAUAGAACACCAAUUGCGAAGGCAGAUCACUAAACCAUUACUGACGCUGAGGUACGAAAGCGUGGGGAGCGAACAAGAUUAGAUACCCUGGUAGUCCACGCCGUAAACUAUGUUCACUCGCUGUUGGCGAUAUACAGUCAGCGGACAAGCGAAAGCAUUAAGUGAACCACCUGGGGAGUACGAUCGCAAGGUUGAAACUCAAAGGAAUUGACGGGGGCCCGCACAAGCGGUGGAGCAUGUGGAUUAAUUCGAUGAUACGCGAGGAACCUUACCAGGGCUUAAAUGGUAAUUGACCGUCGCCGAAAGGUGUCUUUCUUUUAGACAAUUAUCAAGGUGCUGCAUGGCUGUCGUCAGCUCGUGCCGUGAGGUGUUGGGUUAAGUCCCGCAACGAGCGCAGCCCCUAUCAUUAGUUGCCAGCACUUCGGGUGGGGACUCUAAUGACACUGCCUACGUAAGUAGUGAGGAAGGUAGGGACGACGUCAAGUCAUCAUGGCCCUUACGUCCUGGGCUUCACACGUGCUACAAUGGUUGGUACAAAGAGCAGCCACUUGGUAACAAGGAGCGAAUCUCAAAAAACCAAUCUCAGUUCGGAUUGAGGUCUGCAACUCGACCUCAUGAAGCUGGAAUCGCUAGUAAUCGCGUAUCAGCAAUGACGCGGUGAAUACGUUCCCGGGUCU
RNAcentral lists this ribosomal RNA (853 nucleotides) under uncultured bacterium. Its description in RNAcentral is "SSU rRNA". It matches the Rfam family "Bacterial small subunit ribosomal RNA", at positions 524 to 1381 of the family's 1533-position model. The record is from RNAcentral.